Papaver somniferum (opium poppy) is the source of this 3429-nucleotide long non-coding RNA. RefSeq lists it as uncharacterized. The transcript has 8 exons. The record is from RefSeq and is a predicted model, not a curated record. Lineage: Eukaryota; Viridiplantae; Streptophyta; Magnoliopsida; Ranunculales; Papaveraceae.
CUCCUCUUCUUCUCUCUGUUUUGUUUCUGAAAGGGGAAAAAAUGGUGGUUUGAUUGAAUCGAUAGAAUCAAUAGGAUAGUUGGUUGUAGUUGAUGAUUUAAUUGAAUCAAUUGAAGAUGAACGAAGAUAUAUCGUCCGUGACGUCGACUGGAAAGGAGAAAGGGAUAUCCAGUAAUAACAUUGUUAAGAGAAAAAUCAAGAUUAGAAAUAUACGAUGUUAUUGCAUUGAGAGUAAGAUUGAGCUUGUUUUCAAACAGUUAGAAAGAGAUAAGAUGCAUCUGAGAAUAUUAGAGCAAAUGGUUCAUAUGAAGAUCUGUUUGGAAGAUAUAGAUGAUCUUGUUUUUCUAUGGACAUCAGGACAUGGAGUUCCAUGGACACUAAAAAUGAUCAUGCCUUUUUUUGGUUUUGGGAGAAUGCUGUAGUAAAUAGUAAUGGUUUUAUUGAGUUGGCUGUCAAGGUUCAUAAUCUAGAUUGGGACAAGGAGGUCACACCUAAGAAAGCAGUAUCAAAGUCACCUCAAGUGAGAAGAAUCCUAAGAUUUGGAGGUGAUAAGAACAUAAGUGUAGGUGGUUCUACUGCUAGGAAGUUGUUUGGGCAGGGCAGUUCACAACCUACUCAAGAAAGUGUUGUUGGUGAUAACUUGAGAGGAAGAUCCAAUAGUACACCAGUUCAAGUAGAUGGAGAACCAGUUGAAGUUGAUGAUGAUUUUGAUCAAGAAUAUUGGUUAAAUAAGAUGAAAGAAAAUGAUGAGACUGUGAUUCAACUUGAGAACAAAGAAGUGGAUGAAUGCCAUCCUGUAGAAGAUCCUGAAGCUGCAACUUCUUAUAAUAGUGAUGAAGACAAUGAAGAUGCAAGUGAUGCUGAACAUGUUGGAGAUGAAAAUACAGAUGAAGAUAAUGAUGACUCAAGUGAUGAUGGUGUAUAAGUAAAUGACCAAGGUAAGGAGUGUGAAGAAGAUCAUGAGUAUUACAAGAAAUUCCAAGCCGAUAAUCAUGAGUUUGAGGAUGAACCUGGUGAGUUGUUUGAUGACUCAAACCUUGUUCAACCAUUGGAUCCAGAACAAAUGAUUGUAGGUACUGAGUUUCCUGAUAAAAAUGCAUUCCAAAGACAUUUAAAUCUUUUUUGUGUAUUAAAUGAAUGUGAGUAUAAAGAUUAAAAGAGUGACAGGGGAAGACUUAGGGUUUGGUUUGAAAAUAGGUUUAAUCAUAGAGGAGAUGUUGAGUGUGAGUGGUUUGUUUUUUCUUCAAAACUUAAAAAUCAAUCUACAUUUAAGGUAAGAGUGUGAACUUAACUCAUACUUGCAAGGGGAAGGUUGUUGCAGACAAGAUAAUGAAUAGGUCUGCAGAUCCUCAAUUAGUAGCUGAAGUUGUACAAAGCAAGUUGAGAUCUGGAAAUGUGAUUCCAAGACCAAGACAGAUUCAAGUAGAUUUCAAGGCUUCUCAUCUAAUUGAUAUUACUUAUCAUAUUGCAUGGAAGGCCAAGAACUUAGUAAUGGAAGCUAGAUGUGGGAGUUAUAAAGAGAGUUACGUUUAAUAAGAUGGUGUAUGACUCCAACAAGAAUUCAGUUGCUAGUUUCUCUUAUUGUGAGACUGACAUGGCAUUUGAGUCCAUGAAAAUAAGUUUUGCUGGAGCAAUCAAAGGAUGGCUUGAAGGGUGUAGAUCAGUUAUUGGGUUAGAUGCUUGUCAUCUAAAUGGUAAGUGUGGUGGUGUGUUGAUGGCUGCAACAGGGUUAGAUGGACAAAAUGGAUUAGUCACAUUAGGAAUUGGAGUUUUCCCUGCUGAAACAAUUGAGAAUUGGACUAUGUUCCUGACUGACUUGAAUCCAUUUCUCUUAGGCCAUGAAAAGCCAUUGACAUUCAUUUCGGAUAGGCAGAAAGGGCUACUUGAAGCUGUUCCUGCUGUGUUCCCAGACUCACACAAUAGAUAGUAUUGGAGGCACUUGUAUAACAACUUCAAGAAGCACUUUAAGGGACAAAAGUUGUAUAGAUUACUUUGGAAUGCAGCCAAAUGCUACAAGAAGAAACAUUUCUAUAAACAUAUGAGGAAAGAAAAUGCUGCUGUUGUGGUGUACCUUGAAGAGGUUGGUGUUGAGUCAUGGGAUAGAGCCUUUUUUGAUGACACUAGUAAGUGUGAACACCUAAAUAACAACUUGAGUGAGUCUUUUAAUUCCAUAGCCAAAAAUCUUAGGGACAAACCAGUAUGUAGACUAUGAAUUCUUUACAAUCAAUUGGUUAAGAGUAUAUUUCACAAAAGAAGAAAGGAGAGUGCACCUUGGAAUCCAGAUGAAUUGGUUCCAACUGCAAUGAAACUAAUUGGGAAGAUGAUGAAGUUGGUUGGUGCAUUUAAAGUUGAACCAUGUGUUAGUGGUAAAUUGUAUGAGGUUAUAAAUGAAGGUAGCAAGGAAGUUUUUAUUGUCAACUUGGAAGAAAAUACAUGUAGUUGUCUGCAAUGGCAACUCAGAGGUUUUGUUUGACAACAUGCAAUUUGUUGCUUGAAACCAUUCAUACCUGAUUGGACAAAGUACUGUUGUCAUUAUUAUUCAGUUGCUGCAUACAGGCCACAUAUGCUCCAGUUGUGUUUCCAUUUUCUGCUCAAGAAGAUUGUCCUGAGUUGGAAGAACAUGAAAGGAUUGAGCUGGAAUAUGCUAUCAAGAUCAGAAAAACAGGUAGGCCUAGAGUUAAGAGGAGGAGAGCAUGGGAUGAGCCUAAAUCACAGACAAAGGUAUAUUCAUGUCGAAACUGUGGUUCAACUAGUCAUAACAAAAGCACAUGUCCAGGUGGUGAUGUUGGCAAGAAUACUAAAGCAAAGAGGCAGAGAACUCAAGUAGAUGGUGCUACCUUUACAUUCAAUGAAAGACCUGUUGCAUCUACUUCUAAAGCUAAGAAAUCUCAACCAUAUUCUUCUAAAGCUGCAUCUUCUUCUAAAGCUUAUAAAUCUCAACCAUCUAAUAUUCCAAAGACACCUGAUAAAGCUUUUACAACUUCAAAGAAACAUAACAACACUCAUCCAAAGAAGUGAAUGGUUCCAGUAUAAUAAUGUGGUUUACAGUAGUUAGGGUUGUCUUUUUUUAGUGCUAUUUUGGUGCUGAAAACAUUGAACAUAUGCUGUAAUAUUUUGGAACAUAUUUUUAUAUAUAUAAUUAAGUACUUUUGUGAAAAUUUUAGACUUGCAAAAACUUGGGUUCAUAAUUUCUAUAAAUACAGGUUGAAGAGUAUUGAAUUGGGAAUAUGACAGUUGCAGAAACUUGACUUGGUGUUUUGAAUCGGCGGUUCAAGUGGAUUCAGCUCAACUCAGUUUGAAGGGUUUUCUAGACUUUUUUCGCUGCCACCUAAGCAUUAACGUCUGUAACUAACUAUUGCCGUUUUUUCCAGUUUUCUGAAAGAAAACGGUCAAGGGAAGGAUACUUUAAAAAAAAUUUAAAAAACGGGG